CUCAGAGCUCUCAGGGAACUAUUAGAAAAGUGGCUCUCUUUUUCUGCUGUUUCUGUGAAGAUGUGAGAGGAUAAUUCCUUUAAAUGUGUGGUCCCCACAAGGUUAGAGCCAGUUGGAUAAUGCAACCAACACAGAGAAGGGAGCCAAAUGAUGGUGAGGAAGAAACCAGUUUUGGGUGACAUCAUUUAGACCUCUGCAUCAAAAAUAGCUUGAAAGAGACAAGGAGAGAGAACCCACCAAACCUCUGCAAUCUGUCAUACUUUCCUAGAUGAAUAUUAAAUGUUUGGGAAAAAGAGAAACAGCCCCAGAGCUUGUGCCGUAGUUGAAUGAAAUACCAGGAAGGAGUGUGAUGUAAGGAGACUCCCAAGUUAAUGCUGGCUCUGCCAUCCUCUUUAUGACCUUACUGGUGGACACUUGGAUUGCAGGAUUUACUCAACCAGCUGCUGGCAGCACUGCUGACAGGGAGCCCUCAGCUGUCAGCCCCCAGUGGGGAUGGCCAGGGCUGAAGAGAACCAACCUGAGACACCUUGUCAAGUGGCUUCAUUUUCCUGGGCCUCAGUUUCACUCACGGCUUUUUCACUUCACCAGCAUGAUCUGGAAAUCCCAUCUCAGACUCACAUCCACAGAAAACUGUUGUUGUCUGUAUGGGAAUAAAAAGACACUGGAAAUUAUAAAUUUUUUAUCUGUAUGGUUUGCUCCAUCUUGUGAAAAGUGUGGUUAUACCAACUUUGAAGACUUUCCUUGGAAUCCUACAGGUUUAAAUGCUUUGGGUAGUUAUUUGGUAUCAAAUAGAACAGGAGAGGAAAGGAGCGAGAGGAAACUGAGCUCCUUUCUACAUCCUGCUGUAGAGUUGGAGGGGCCCCUUGAGUUCAAUGCAUGAAAGCUGUUUUAAAUCACUAAUUAAUAAAACAAUGCCCUACUUUUUGUAAGCAUGAAAACUGAUAAAAUUACCACCACAUAUCUGUAAUCUAGAGUUUAGGCAUGAAAUCCCUUCUAGGUUAGAUGCACAAGCCCAUGCAAUCAAAUGGUCAAAUUGCCAUCUUCCUCAGCAUCAUGGGAUUUCCCGAAAGGGGUAGAAAGUCACAAGGAGAAAGCCUGGAGCUACACAUCCUCAGUGAGGUGCUAUUUUUGCCAAGCACAGAAAAUUAAAAGUUGGAUGAGACCUUAUAGCUAAGAAAUACCAAGUUAAGUCAAAUUAAUAAAAUGUGGUGAGUAACUCUGAUUUAUGUAGCUGAGCUUCAU
Molecule: long non-coding RNA, 1242 nt
Filed under: Equus asinus (donkey)
Lineage: Eukaryota; Metazoa; Chordata; Mammalia; Perissodactyla; Equidae
Description: lncRNA (ENSEASG00005024810.1)
Source: RNAcentral